UGGGUUGUGGCUCAGUGGUAGAGCGCUUGCCUAGCAUGAAUGAGGCACUGGGUUCAGUCCUGAGGACCCCAU
This 72-nucleotide transfer RNA is filed under the name Marmota monax (woodchuck). RNAcentral's name for it is "tRNA.Ala". The record is from RNAcentral. Lineage: Eukaryota; Metazoa; Chordata; Mammalia; Rodentia; Sciuridae.